RNAcentral lists this small nuclear RNA (64 nucleotides) under Prolemur simus (greater bamboo lemur). RNAcentral's name for it is "U7 small nuclear RNA (ENSPSMG00000021841.1)". It matches the Rfam family "U7 small nuclear RNA". From Rfam's summary of the family: Animal histone pre-mRNAs are spliced by a different mechanism than nuclear pre-mRNAs and self-splicing introns. This processing involves the U7 snRNP, which contains only one RNA species: U7. Lineage: Eukaryota; Metazoa; Chordata; Mammalia; Primates; Lemuridae. The record is from Rfam by way of RNAcentral.
GAGUGUUACAGCUCUUUUAGAAUUUGUCUAGCAGGUUUUCCAGUCUUUAGCAGAAACCACCCCA